Molecule: unclassified non-coding RNA, 4707 nt
Filed under: Haliotis rubra (blacklip abalone)
Lineage: Eukaryota; Metazoa; Mollusca; Gastropoda; Lepetellida; Haliotidae
Description: uncharacterized LOC124270966, transcript variant X1
Source: RNAcentral
UGUCAAAUUAGGGGUCUAAUUUCAUUGCAAGGUUGGCAUCAUUCCAACAAUAUGGCGUGCAUAUUUACUAGUUUCGAUCAAUUCAUGGGUCAUAAAGAAGUACUUGGCAUAUUGUCAACAGAAGUAGUGAGGUGGGGAACGGCCUACAGUGUCAGUUCAGUUGUCUCCCCUACAUCGUCGCCACGGUGUCGCAAAGCCGGAAUGGUCAUCGAAGUGUUUAGGCUCGCGUCGACCACGAGGAAUUAAUUUAUUUCCGAUUGAGGAGAUAGUGAUGUCAUUCUUUUAGCACAACGCGAGCAAGGCAAAAUGUUAUUGUUUGGAAUCUAAAAAUAGCUCUAUCUAAUUCGGACUGGUGACGUCACCUUAGAAGGCAUUAUCUUGAACUUUGCUUUAUUCUGAUUAAAUAUUAAUUUCAAACUUACCAAAAAGGAUACAUUAUCGUUGAUAAAUAGCCAACAAUCAAUAUUUUAAGGAAAAGAAAUUUUUCGCAGCUGAAUUUCGAAUUAUUUCGUUUAUUUUCCGCUGAAACCAUUUGCUUCGAGGCUCGAGCUGAGAAAUACCACAACACGUCUUGCCCCCAGCUGAUCGUAGUAAAAGCGUGUCUGCCAUGACGAUGGCGAGCAGUGUGGACGUGCACGAGUCAACGUCGUUGACCACGGCAGCAUUUAUGCAGGAGCUGAGCGACUUGGACGACCUGACACUGGUCAAGGCGACUUAUGCCGCCCUAGAGAGCGGGCGUCUCACUCCCCUUUUGAAGGAAGAACUACGAUGCCGAAUACAAAGUCGCCGCCUCUCUGAAGGGAAAGACGAGCUCAUGGUCGAGUUCACGGCGCCCACCAAAGACGAGCCCCGCCCCGAGGAGCUGGCCAAGUUAGACAGGCGUAGGGAGCAGAAUCGACGAGCAGCUCGCAAAUUCCGUGAAAAGAAGAGAAACAAAACGGACAUUCUCAUGCAGGAGACCCAUCGUCUCGAAUCCAGUAACGACAGCCUACGCUCAGAAAUAUCCGAACUAGGCAAAGAGCGGACCAGACUACUAGCUGUACUUACUGAGCAUGCGCAGCUGUGUCACAUGACCAAGGUGGACAAUCCACCACCCUGACCUCUUUGCCCAGUAGCACCAAUCAAUAAGCUCACGUGGAUCUAUUCACUCAUCGCUCAUUGGUCAGUCAUAUGUCACGUGUCAUCAUCUCCUUGUGUCAAAGACAACCUUCACCCCUGACAGAAAGUUCAUCUGAUGAUGCAGCUUCGGGCCUCCCGUGUCACUGCCUGUAUGGGAUGUAGUUGCUGGGUAUUCUUGUAGCCUUGGCAACGUACCCUUCAACAAGAAACAUUUGAUCAACAACGACGUAUCUCAUGUAUGGACAAACAAGACGUCGUCGUUUUCCUCUUCCCGAAAAUAUGACAAAAUACACGCUGUCCAAAGCCUGACAUUUAUGACUUCAUUUAAUACAAAAUAUAAACCAUUUGUGCAGAUAUCAUGAAUAUGAUAUAUGUAACAAUUCGAUGUAUUAUAUAUAUGGAGGUUUUGUCUGAUUGUUCAGAUGUAUGUAAUAUAUACUGAUUGUUACAACUGUCUCUUAAAGUGUAUAUACGGAAAUAUUCUUAGUAUGGACCGUUCUGUACAAAUAUGACUUGACUUUCAAAUGGACAAUUCGUUAUAUUGUUAAAGUUUAAAUUGGAAUCAUAAAUGGCAUGUUUUUAAGUCUAUGCGUGAUUCGAUUAUCGAAAUAUCGAAAAAAUAUAUACAUGUAUCAACAGAGACACAAUUUACCAACAACUUACUAAAUAAGUCCCUUUGCGGCGACAGUUAGAAAUAUGUGACAGUCAACAGCAAUUUGUAUUAUGUUUGAUAUUUGACCACAGCCAAACGUUGAAACCAUUCUCUGAUUUUUGUAGCAAGAGUUAUAUAUGUACAACGUCUCCACGUUACAGAACGAGAAAAUAAAACCAUCGGUCAUGAAGCCGUAAUGAUGUGGACAAUUUCCGUAAAUUUGAUAAUUCCACAAAAAUGUCUUUUUGAAUAAAGCAAAAUGAUUUAACAAUAUCCAUGUGUAUAUUGUGCCACGUACAGGCCAACUGCUGCUCUUUAAAUUCUUCUACCUUUUCACAAACACUAGAAUAGGGCUUUAAACUGGAUUUAUAAACUGUUGUUUGUUGUCUUUAUUGGUAAUCGACUGGGAGUAUAUAGAACAUAUUGUACAGACAUCUAUAUCUAAUUAUAGCGUAGUACAUUUCUAGGGUAGUGAUGUUAGAAACACUGGUACUGCUUGUAGGCCAGACAGAUUGCUUUGCAUAAAAAUGCAAGAUAUGUUAAUGUGUUUUCCUGAAUAUAUCAAGAGCGUUCGAGAUAAUAUCAACAUUGUCUGCGGAAAAAUAAUUAUAUAUAAAGAAGUAUAUUUGUCAUUGUUUUAUAGCCUGGUGAUGUCACAAGGUCAAAUUUGUUUGAGAAACAUUUGAUUAAUUCCUCAUGGCAUCUGAGUGUCACACUGCGCGUAGAGGUCGGUGUGAGGUGUUUGUUUCAUUCGGUAUUCACAUACUUUGAUGAUGUGGUAUACCAGGUGUAAUAUAUCCGAAUGUUUUAUAGAUCUGACCAUUUCCUUCACAAUGACGUCAGUAAUUAACACGAAGUUUUUAAUUGAGAUGAAGUCAUUACAUGAUGUCAUACAGUCACCACGUGUCAUGCAGCUACUUGGUAAAACGAGGUCACUGCUUGUUAUGCUACGUGUCAUGUAACACUGACGUUACGUUGAUCACGCGACUAGAAGCGUCAUGUCGUCACUACGUGUCAUUCGACGGGUAGAGCUACGUGUCAUGUGUCCAGAUAUACUAUGACAAGCCUUGUUUUACUGCGUUAUUGGACUAGUAGCGCUACGUGUUAUGUGACAAGUAACGCCAUGACGUCCCUUGUCCUGAGACUAGUAACUAUGUGUCAUUACGCGUCACAUGACUAGUCGAGUCUUGUAGGUACUUCACGAGCAAUGCAGCUAGAAACGGUGUGAACCCACCGAGUGUCAUGUGAUUCUCAUCAUCUUUCUGUCAUUACCCAUCAUGCAGCUGGAAAAGCCAUGUAGUGAUAACGUCAUAACUAGUAACGCUACGUUUCCUUUGACUAGUUUGCCAUGUUACUCGUAACGUCACAUAGUCGUCAAUACUGACGCUACGUGUCUGUGACCAGUUACGCUUCGUGACUAGUAAGGUUACGUGUCAUGUGAUUAGUAACGUCAAGUAGUCAGACCGUUUCGUGACUAGUAACGCUACCGAUCUACUGACUAGUAACGUAGUCAGAAUGUUUCGUGACUAUUACGUUUACUUGUCCUGUGACCAUUAACGCUACGUGUCCUAUGGCUAGUAACGUGAUAUAGUCAGUACGUGUCAUGGCUAUUAUAAGCUACGUGUCACAUGACAAGUAACGCCACGUGUCCGGCAUAUAGUCAACUGUAACGUCUUACAGUGUUAGCCUCAUCUACCUCCUGAUGGAUGCCACUACCCCUAACAAGAUGAAAAGGGCGACGUCACGCUGCUGUCGUCUCACCAAUGGCUGCCUGGCAGAUCUGACAAACCUGUUAUUCACCUUUCGCCAACUUGAACCUCACCCCCAGUAUUGCGCCAAGUAACUUGUUUAAGAAUACGAUGAAUAGAAACAUCGUCGAUAAAUUGGUUUAGUUUUACUCUAAAUAGUUCCUUAUGUGAAAUUAUUCCAGCGCUUAUAUAUUCCUCGGAACGUGGAACCCUGUCUUCUCACGUCACUGUGUUUGAUUUGUAGUGACGCGCCGGGAGGUUGACACGUCUUAAUGAGGAGAAAAAACAACCUCUUACUGACAAUUCAAGGAACAUACGAUAUAUCUAACUGUAUGAAGGAGAUAAGCUCAGUAUCUUGUUAGGUAUUAAUUAUACAGUCAUUUGUCGUUAACAGUAUCCUCCGUGUUCGGAGAACCUGGCGACGCCAUACUCGAGCAUAUGGUUGAGCAAAUAUGUCACGUGGAUAAGUACAUACAGGGACGUCCAUGCAUUGGCGUCAUCAAUGUCUUGUCUUGCUCAAUGUCCCGACCUCAUCGGGUCACUUGUCCUGACCCUAGUGCAGGUCAUCUUCCUGAUCCUAGCAGACGCCCUGUACUGACCCUGCGGGCGUCCUGUCCUGACCCUAGCAAACGUCCUUUCCAAAUCCUAACUGGCGUCGUGUCCAACCCUGCGGGUGUCCUGUCUUGACCCUAGCAAACGUCCUGUCUAAACCCUAACUGGCGUCGUGUCCAACCCUGACGGGCGUCCUGUACUGACCCUGACGGGCGUCCUGUACUGACCCUAACGGGCGUCCUGUCCUGACCCCAGCGGGUCCUGUACUGCCCCUGGGUAUGUCCUGUCCUGACCCCAGCGGGUCCUGUACUGCCCCUGGGUAUGUCAUGUCCUGACCCCAGCGGGUCCUGUACUGCCCCUGGGAAUGUCCUGUCCUGACCCCAGCGGGUCCUGUACUGCCCCUGGGUAUGUCCUGUCUUGAGAGGGGUAGUGGCGACCUUCUGAUUGUCCCCCUGAUGUCAGCCAAUCAAUCAUUAUCGAUCUUUGUGUUCAAGUAACUCAGCAUGGGAAAUGAUCUCAAGAUCAAUACUGUUUUUGAUCAGUUUUCAGUACAUGAUCAUUAUAAUCAGAUUUUUAUUCUACCUUUUGAGCUUUUUUAUCUUGAGCCAUAAAAUGGCAAUAAAAUUUGAGGAUGCA